GAUGAACGCUAGCUACAGGCUUAACACAUGCAAGUCGAGGGGUAACGAGAGGAAAGCUUGCUUUCCUUGUCGACGACCGGCGCACGGGUGAGUAACGCGUAUCCAACCUGCCCCCAACUAGGGAAUAACCUUGCGAAAGUAAGACUAAUACCCUAUAAUUUCCUCAGAUGUCAUCUGACGAGGAAUAAAGAUUUAUCGGUUGUGGAUGGGGAUGCGUCUGAUUAGCUUGUUGGCGGGGUAACGGCCCACCAAGGCAACGAUCAGUAGGGGUUCUGAGAGGAAGGUCCCCCACAUUGGAACUGAGACACGGUCUAAACUCCUACGGGAGGCAGCAGUGAGGAAUAUUGGUCAAUGGGCGGAAGCCUGAACCAGCCAAGUAGCGUGCAGGAUGACGGCCCUAUGGGUUGUAAACUGCUUUUAUACAGGAAUAAAGUUAGCCACGUGUGGUUAUUUGUAGGUACUGUAUGAAUAAGGACCGGCUAAUUCCGUGCCAGCAGCAGCCGCAG
RNAcentral lists this ribosomal RNA (506 nucleotides) under uncultured bacterium. Its description in RNAcentral is "partial 16S ribosomal RNA". It matches the Rfam family "Bacterial small subunit ribosomal RNA", at positions 28 to 523 of the family's 1533-position model. The record is from RNAcentral.